This 1280-nucleotide ribosomal RNA is filed under the name uncultured bacterium. Its description in RNAcentral is "bacterial SSU rRNA". It matches the Rfam family "Bacterial small subunit ribosomal RNA", at positions 93 to 1399 of the family's 1533-position model. The record is from RNAcentral.
GAGUGGCGGACGGGUGAGUAACGCGUGGGUAACCUGCCCUGUACAGGGGGAUAACAGCUGGAAACGGCUGCUAAUACCGCAUAAGCGCACGAGGAGACAUCUCCUAGUGUGAAAAACUCCGGUGGUACAGGAUGGGCCCGCGUCUGAUUAGCUGGUUGGCAGGGUAACGGCCUACCAAGGCAACGAUCAGUAGCCGGUCUGAGAGGAUGAACGGCCACAUUGGAACUGAGACACGGUCCAAACUCCUACGGGAGGCAGCAGUGGGGAAUAUUGCACAAUGGGGGAAACCCUGAUGCAGCGACGCCGCGUGGAGGAAGAAGGUCUUCGGAUUGUAAACUCCUGUUGUUGAGGAAGAUAAUGACGGUACUCGACAAGGAAGUGACGGCUAACUACGUGCCAGCAGCCGCGGUAAAACGUAGGUCACAAGCGUUGUCCGGAAUUACUGGGUGUAAAGGGAGCGCAGGCGGGAAGACAAGUUGGAAGUGAAAUCUAUGGGCUCAACCCAUAAACUGCUUUCAAAACUGUUUUUCUUGAGUAGUGCAGAGGUAGGCGGAAUUCCCGGUGUAGCGGUGGAAUGCGUAGAUAUCGGGAGGAACACCAGUGGCGAAGGCGGCCUACUGGGCACCAACUGACGCUGAGGCUCGAAAGUGUGGGUAGCAAACAGGAUUAGAUACCCUGGUAGUCCACACCGUAAACGAUGAUUACUAGGUGUUGGAGGAUUGACCCCUUCAGUGCCGCAGUUAACACAAUAAGUAAUCCACCUGGGGAGUACGACCGCAAGGUUGAAACUCAAAGGAAUUGACGGGGGCCCGCACAAGCAGUGGAGUAUGUGGUUUAAUUCGACGCAACGCGAAGAACCUUACCAAGUCUUGACAUCCUGCGACGAUGCUGGAAACAGUAUUUUCCUUCGGGACGCAGAGACAGGUGGUGCAUGGUUGUCGUCAGCUCGUGUCGUGAGAUGUUGGGUUAAGUCCCGCAACGAGCGCAACCCUUACUGUCAGUUACUACGCAAGAGGACUCUGGCAGGACUGCCGUUGACAAAACGGAGGAAGGUGGGGAUGACGUCAAAUCAUCAUGCCCUUUAUGACUUGGGCUACACACGUACUACAAUGGCGUUAAACAAAGAGAAGCAAGACCGCGAGGUGGAGCAAAACUCAGAAACAACGUCCCAGUUCGGACUGCAGGCUGCAACUCGCCUGCACGAAGUCGGAAUUGCUAGUAAUCGUGGAUCAGCAUGCCACGGUGAAUACGUUCCCGGGCCUUGCACACACCGCCCGUCA